This 67-nucleotide transfer RNA is filed under the name Marmota monax (woodchuck). Its description in RNAcentral is "tRNA.Ala". The record is from RNAcentral. Lineage: Eukaryota; Metazoa; Chordata; Mammalia; Rodentia; Sciuridae.
GGUUGUGGCUCAGUGGUACAGCGUUUGCCUAGCAUGCUUGAGGUACUGGGUUCAAUUCUCAGCACCA